CCUCGGACGACUUGGCGCUCCGGGACAGCAGCAGACGCCCAAGCUCCGGCAGCGCAGAGCCCCGCCGGGGGCCCGGGGGGCUGGGAGCCGGGGAUCGCGGGGACGGAAGUGGGGGACCGAGUCUCGCGAGCCCGGGCCCUCCUCGCAGCUGGGGCCCCACUGGCGCCCCCGCGGGAGCGCUACGGGAGAGGCGCCUAUGCGGCUGCAGGUUUUAUUAUGGAGCUGUCAAGGUAGAAAGAGUUUGACUCUUCCACAAUAAUUUGGCACCCAGCGUGGGGCCUCAGAGAAGACUCAGGACCCCAAAGGAGUUGCCUGAACUCGGAGCGAAGAUA
Molecule: long non-coding RNA, 332 nt
Filed under: Homo sapiens (human)
Lineage: Eukaryota; Metazoa; Chordata; Mammalia; Primates; Hominidae
Description: non-protein coding lnc-ROPN1B-2:5
Source: RNAcentral